This 329-nucleotide unclassified non-coding RNA is filed under the name soil metagenome. RNAcentral describes it as "partial contains 5.8S ribosomal RNA, internal transcribed spacer 2, and large subunit ribosomal RNA". The stretch from base 1 to 120 matches the Rfam family "5.8S ribosomal RNA", at positions 35 to 154 of the family's 154-position model. The record is from RNAcentral.
GAUGAAGAACGCAGCGAAAUGCGAUAAGUAGUGUGAAUUGCAGAAUUCAGUGAAUCAUCGAAUCUUUGAACGCACAUUGCGCCCCUUGGUAUUCCAUGGGGCAUGCCUGUUCGAGCGUCAUUUGUACCUUCAAGCUUUGCUUGGUGUUGGGCCGCGCCGGCAACGGCGGGCCUCAAAAACAGUGGCGGCGCCAUCUGGUCCCUCAGCGUAGUAAUUCUUCUCGCUGCUGGGCCCCGGUGGCCGCUUGCCAGCAACCCCAAACUUUCUAUGGUUGACCUCGGAUCAGGUAGGGAUACCCGCUGAACUUAAGCAUAUCAAUAAGCGGAGGA